This 553-nucleotide ribosomal RNA is filed under the name uncultured archaeon. RNAcentral's name for it is "bacterial SSU rRNA". It matches the Rfam family "Archaeal small subunit ribosomal RNA", at positions 326 to 879 of the family's 1478-position model. The record is from RNAcentral.
CGGGGUGCACCAGGCGCGAAAACUUUACAAUGCUGGAAACAGCGAUAAGGGGACCUCGAGUGCCAGGUUACAAAUCUGGCUGUCGUGAUGCCUAAAAAGCAUUGCAUAGCAAGGGCCGGGCAAGACCGGUGCCAGCCGCCGCGGUAACACCGGCGGCUCGAGUGGUAACCGUUAUUAUUGGGUCUAAAGGGUCUGUAGCCGGCCGGAUAAGUCUCUUGGGAAAUCCAGCAGCUCAACUGUUGGGCUUUCAGGAGAUACUGUCUGGCUCGAGGCCGGGAGAGGUGAGAGGUACUUCAGGGGUAGGGGUGAAAUCUUGUAAUCCUUGAAGGACCACCAGUGGCGAAGGCGUCUCACCAGAACGGACCUGACGGCAAGGGACGAAAGCUAGGGGCACGAACCGGAUUAGAUACCCGGGUAGUCCUAGCCGUAAACGAUACUCGCUAGGUGUCGGCCACGGUGCGACCGUUGUCGGUGCCGUAGGGAAGCCGUGAAGCGAGCCACCUGGGAAGUACGGCCGCAAGGCUGAAACUUAAAGGAAUUGGCGGGGGAGCAC